Long non-coding RNA from Syngnathus acus (greater pipefish), 594 nucleotides. RefSeq lists it as uncharacterized. Lineage: Eukaryota; Metazoa; Chordata; Actinopteri; Syngnathiformes; Syngnathidae. The record is from RefSeq and is a predicted model, not a curated record. The transcript has 2 exons.
GAGGGAGCAGAGGCAGAGGAGGUGCGUGGCAGUCCAAGAAGCACCGGCUGCCCCUUCGCUCUCUCAGUUCCCCUACCGCCGGGUCAUUGAUUUCUCCUUCCCUUCUUUUCCUCGUUGUCCCGGGAUAAGGUUACAGUCAUCGAUGUGAUGAUUUAUUUAAUGUUGGAAAAUUUAAUUCUCGAAAAAAAAUCCUGGGACUCUCCGGCUACCAAUCCAAGAGAGGCGCAAGCUAUUCCGGCAGUCUGAAGGCGCUGCUGGCCUUUCCACGACAGCCACACACCCCCCCCCCCACCCCUUCAACGCAGGCGGACAUGAGCAACAGCUGGCACAUGGCACCAGGAAAGACACAUGGCGGGCCCAGAGCCAGGUACAGUUAGUUGAGAGAGACCUGGCCUAGGUUAGCAACAGAUAGUGAGGAUUCAAAUCUCCAUGAAGAACUAAAGAUUCCACAUUAAUGUAAGUCACAUGAAAGGUAAAGGGGAUUGGUAAACAGGAACCAAACACAUUCAAAUAUUACCCAGAGCAGCGGCCGAGUUUGAAUAAUGUGUUGGUAUUUGAUGAAUGUUGGAAAAAUAAAUAAAAGUUGACUCACUU